GACAGAGGGUGCAAACGUUGUUCGGAAUUACUGGGCGUAAAGCGCGUGUAGGCUGCCUCGAAAGUCAGGUGUGAAAUCCCUGGGCUCAACCCAGGAAGUGCACUUGAAACUUCGAAGCUCGAGUCCCGGAGAGGGUCGGCGGAAUUCUCGGUGUAGGAGGUGAAAUUCGAUAGAUAUCGAGAGGAACACCGGUGGCGAAGGCGGCUACCUGGACGGUGACUGACGCUGAGACGCGAAAGCGUGGGGAGCGAACAGG
This 256-nucleotide ribosomal RNA is filed under the name uncultured bacterium. Its description in RNAcentral is "partial 16S ribosomal RNA". It matches the Rfam family "Bacterial small subunit ribosomal RNA", at positions 524 to 776 of the family's 1533-position model. The record is from RNAcentral.